Long non-coding RNA from Ornithorhynchus anatinus (platypus), 518 nucleotides. RefSeq lists it as uncharacterized. NCBI's taxonomy places the organism in Eukaryota, Metazoa, Chordata, Mammalia, Monotremata, Ornithorhynchidae. The transcript is spliced from 5 exons. The record is from RefSeq and is a predicted model, not a curated record.
CUGCCGGUGUUGCUAGUACUGAUAAGGAGGAGAAACUGACCGGCAGUGGUAGAAGACGUGAGGGGAGGGAGCAAAGGCCUGCCUGAAGCUACUGAUAGAGCACCUCCAGGACUGAGGACGUGCGAUAAACCCCGACAAGGUGCAGGGACAGGCAUCGGUGGUUCAAUUCUUGGGGGUCACCUGGUCAGAUAUCCCAAGUCUGUCAACUGUGCCAACAGUCUCCUCGGCUGUUUUCCAAUCAUGCUGCCCAGUUACACACUCUAUUAGGUCUGUAUUGUAUUUCUGUGAACUGCAUGGACAGUGCAGAGGCUCAGUUCACUACUGCAUUACAGGUGCCGAACACAUUCCUAUCCGGGGAAGAUCAACAGAAGAUAAUCAGCUCUUACACAGCCAACAUGGGAUUCAUAAUAUGCGAUGGAGGAAGAAGAGGAUAUCUUGUUUUUAUGCGUGAGAAAAGAAAGACUCAGAAUACAGAACUUGUCCAAGAUCACACAAAAAGCCUGUGGAGGAACUGGAAU